CGCGGAAAAAGCGGCUGAAU
This 20-nucleotide microRNA is filed under the name Spodoptera frugiperda (fall armyworm). RNAcentral describes it as "sfr-miR-10479-3p". The record is from miRBase by way of RNAcentral. Lineage: Eukaryota; Metazoa; Arthropoda; Insecta; Lepidoptera; Noctuidae.